UAGAGGGCUGGAAUCUGGGUUUGUGCUGUUCUCAGCAUCCUGAGGACUAGAAAGCUUCAACUCCACUCAAAGUGAAAUCAUAAUCUUCUGAAAGAAUUUUGGACAUAAACUAGGGUAAACUUGGAUAACAAGAAUCAGCCCUUGUGAGAUUGAUUGGAGCUGGGAGAGAUGUGUUAGAAAGAUAUUGCAAGAAUCCAGAGAACAGGCAGUGAGGGUCUUUGCAGGCACAGAGGCAGGGAGAAAGCAAUUGUAUUAUUGAAUCUAAGAUUUUAGAGCUAAACAGACACUAUGGGCCAUAUAGCACAAAAUAUCCUCAUUUUAUAGAACAAAGGGGCCC
This 337-nucleotide long non-coding RNA is filed under the name Pan troglodytes (chimpanzee). Its description in RNAcentral is "long non-coding RNA NONPTRT016054". The record is from RNAcentral. Lineage: Eukaryota; Metazoa; Chordata; Mammalia; Primates; Hominidae.